Molecule: ribosomal RNA, 486 nt
Filed under: uncultured bacterium
Lineage: Bacteria
Description: partial 16S ribosomal RNA
Rfam family: Bacterial small subunit ribosomal RNA
Source: RNAcentral
AUUGAACGCUGGCGGCAUGCCUUACACAUGCAAGUCGAACGGCAGCACGGGUGCUUGCACCUGGUGGCGAGUGGCGAACGGGUGAGUAAUACAUCGGAACAUGUCCUGUAGUGGGGGAUAGCCCGGCGAAAGCCGGAUUAAUACCGCAUACGAUCUACGGAUGAAAGCGGGGGACCUUCGGGCCUCGCGCUAUAGGGUUGGCCGAUGGCUGAUCAGCUAGUUGGUGGGGUAAAGGCCUACCAAGGCGACGAUCAGUAGCUGGUCUGAGAGGACGACCAGCCACACUGGGACUGAGACACGGCCCAGACUCCUACGGGAGGCAGCAGUGGGGAAUUUUGGACAAUGGGCGAAAGCCUGAUCCAGCAAUGCCGCGUGUGUGAAGAAGGCCUUCGGGUUGUAAAGCACUUUUGUCCGGAAAGAAAUCCUUGGCCCUAAUACGGUCGGGGGAUGACGGUACCGGAAGAAUAAGCACCAGCUAACUACGUG